This 406-nucleotide ribosomal RNA is filed under the name uncultured bacterium. Its description in RNAcentral is "partial 16S ribosomal RNA". It matches the Rfam family "Bacterial small subunit ribosomal RNA", at positions 30 to 526 of the family's 1533-position model. The record is from RNAcentral.
AUUGAACGCUGGCGGCGGGCUUAACACAUGCAAGUCGGACGAGUGGCGGACGGGUGAGUAACGUCUGGGAAACUGCCUGAUGGAGGGGGAUAACUGCUGGAAACGGUAGCUAAUACCGCAUACUAUCCGAUGCGCCCAUGUGUGAUUAGCUGGUUGGUGGGGUCACGGCCCACCAAGGCGACGAUCACUAGCGGGUCUGAGAGGAUGACCCGCCACACUGGAACUGAGACACGGCCCAGACUCCUACGGGAGGCAGCAGUGGGGAAUUUUGGACAAUGGGCGCAAGCCUGAUGCAGCCAUGCCGCGUGUAUGAAGAAGGCCUUCGGGUUGUAAAGUACUUUUGUCAGGGAGGCGUUACCUGAAGAAUAAGCACCGGCUAACUCCGUGCCAGCAGCCGCGGUAAUAC